Molecule: long non-coding RNA, 126 nt
Organism: Solanum verrucosum
Lineage: Eukaryota; Viridiplantae; Streptophyta; Magnoliopsida; Solanales; Solanaceae
Exons: 3
Source: RefSeq, a predicted model, not a curated record
CCAAGGAGCAGAUUGAGGCACCUCCAUCUAGCUCAUCUAGACCUGCCCUUGAAUUACCAUCAGUAGCUUCCUCAGCACGGGAUGGGUCUUUGCCUCCAAGUUUAUCAGUCGAAUCAUCAUCUCCAU